CGAGUUAGCCGGACGGUCGCGGGGUAGAAAUACCGUGAGGAAAGUCCGAGCAUCACAGGGCAAGGGUGCAGGUGAAAUGCCUGUGAAGGUGACUUCAAGGAAAGUGCAACAGAAAAAAACCGCCCGCAAGGGUAAGGAUGGAAAGGCGAGGUAAGAGCUCACCCACAAAUCGGUGACGAGGCGUGGUGUAAACCCCACCUGAUGCAAGACACGGAGCAUAUGGGUUGCCCGCCCGCUCCAAAAAGUCGCUUGAGCGCUACGGCAACGUAUCGCCUAGAUAGAUGACCGUUCAAGACAGAACUCGGCUUAUAGACUAAUCUCGCACA
This 326-nucleotide RNase P RNA is filed under the name Clostridia bacterium. Its description in RNAcentral is "RNase P RNA component class A". It matches the Rfam family "Bacterial RNase P class A". From Rfam's summary of the family: Ribonuclease P (RNase P) is a ubiquitous endoribonuclease, found in archaea, bacteria and eukarya as well as chloroplasts and mitochondria. The record is from RNAcentral. Lineage: Bacteria; Bacillati; Bacillota; Clostridia.